ACGUUCCUGCUUGAAUUCUAAUGCAUAGUAGUCAGCAGAGAUAAGACCUACAUGAAUCGUAGUAGCUGCGAUCGAAGAGGAAGAGCCAGCACUGAUCGCAAGGUCUCGCUCUUAGGGAGAUGUGGUGAUUUGGGAGUAGCCGAUCAACCCGGGGUUUCGUGCACCCAGUUCAAGUCCAUCUUGAACGGGGCCCACGGUCCGUAGAGGGUGCCAGCCCCGUAGAUGACGGGUGCCGACCCCGGGUGGGUAUCUCCUUAGAGUCGGGCUGCUUGAGAGUGCAGCCCUAAGCGGGUGGUAAACUCCAUCUAAGGCUAAAUACUGCCACGAGACCGAUAGAGAACAAGUACCGUGAGGGAAAGUUGAAAAGACCUUUGAAGAGAGAGUUCAAGAGUACGUGAAACCGCUCAGGGGUAAACGGAUAAGACCCGAAACACCGAAAAGGGAGAUUCACGUCUCCACGCGGUGGUCGGCCCGCGCUCUGGGAGACGUCCUGCUCCCCGCCCGGUUCGUCCGUGGCGGUGAGCCGGCCGCUCUCGGCGCGGAGUCCGGCCCUGCGGGGGACCGCACUUCUCCCCCAGUAGGACGUCGCGACCCGCUCUGCGACGGUCUAACGGCCGGUAGAAUGCCUGGCCGGGGUCUUGCCCUUCGGGGUCGAACUCCCGGCCAGAUCUCCGGUUAGCGGCCGUCGGUCACGGGGCGGUAUGAAACGAUUAGGCGCUGGGCCGCUCCCCGGGAGCGCCGCUGUGUCCUCGCAAGCCUGUCGUCGAGCUCUCGGGUCGUGCCCUCGCGGGUACGCCCGGUCUCGGCGCGGACUGUUGGCGGGCGUACACUCCGGCCGAGUCCAGCACGCCAGUCGGCGGCGCUCAGACUCGGGUCCUUC
RNAcentral lists this ribosomal RNA (880 nucleotides) under Pyrrhocoris sinuaticollis. Its description in RNAcentral is "partial large subunit ribosomal RNA". It matches the Rfam family "Eukaryotic large subunit ribosomal RNA", at positions 24 to 634 of the family's 3401-position model. Lineage: Eukaryota; Metazoa; Arthropoda; Insecta; Hemiptera; Pyrrhocoridae. The record is from RNAcentral.